Molecule: ribosomal RNA, 497 nt
Filed under: uncultured bacterium
Lineage: Bacteria
Description: partial 16S ribosomal RNA
Rfam family: Bacterial small subunit ribosomal RNA
Source: RNAcentral
GAUGAACGCUGGCGGCGUGCCUAAUACAUGCAAGUCGAGCGAACGGACGAGAAGCUUGCUUCUCUGAUGUUAGCGGCGGACGGGUGAGUAACACGUGGAUAACCUACCUAUAAGACUGGGAUAACUUCGGGAAACCGGAGCUAAUACCGGAUGAUAUUUUGAACCGCAUGGUUCAAGAGUGAAAGACGGUCUGGCUGUCACUUAUAGAUGGAUCCGCGCUGCAUUAGCUAGUUGGUAAGGUAACGGCUUACCAAGGCAACGAUGCAUAGCCGACCUGAGAGGGUGAUCGGCCACACUGGAACUGAGACACGGUCCAGACUCCUACGGGAGGCAGCAGUAGGGAAUCUUCCGCAAUGGGCGAAAGCCUGACGGAGCAACGCCGCGUGAGUGAUGAAGGUCUUCGGAUCGUAAAACUCUGUUAUUAGGGAAGAACAUAUGUGUAAGUAACUGUGCACAUCUUGACGGUACCUAAUCAGAAAGCCACGGCUAACUACGUG